UGUAGGAGUGAGCCUGCUCGCGAUAGCGGUAUGUCUGGUUCCUGGCCGGUGACUGACACACCGCUAUCGCGAGCAGGCUCACUCCUACA
Molecule: unclassified non-coding RNA, 89 nt
Filed under: Pseudomonas moraviensis
Lineage: Bacteria; Pseudomonadati; Pseudomonadota; Gammaproteobacteria; Pseudomonadales; Pseudomonadaceae
Source: RNAcentral